ACAGCAGGGGGCAGGAGGCACGCGCUGGCACGUGGGAGAGUCUCCUGGAAACACAGGCCGAGCGCGUCCACGCCGGCGCGUCCCCGAGCGACUCCAGCCGUCCAAUCAGCGCUCAGAUGGAUGUGCUGAAUCUGCAGCACUGCCCAACAAAGACAGGGAAGCAGAAGACAGAUAGAAAGUAGGCUGAACAUGGAUGUAAACGAUGCAAGCUUUAAAAUACUUUAAAAAUCAGCAUUGCAAGUGUUUUAUGAGGAAGGAAAUGUACUGGACACAAUGUGUUUUGGAAGCCGGGGUUUGGAUUUAAAAGCAGCGGACCUUGAGAUGAUCCACCCAGCCAGAUUAACUGGACCAGACACCAUAGCAGGUGCUGUUUGAUUGCCCCAGGAGGAGAGGAAGAGCUUGGAUGGGAGCCAAGCUGGCCCAGUUUGGAUAUAAGGCUGCUCCUGGCUAAUGUCUUAUAAUACAGUGUUUUACCUUGUGGUAUUGCUACUUUAACUUAAAUAAAAGUUUUGAA
Molecule: long non-coding RNA, 514 nt
Organism: Siniperca chuatsi (mandarin fish)
Lineage: Eukaryota; Metazoa; Chordata; Actinopteri; Centrarchiformes; Sinipercidae
Exons: 3
Source: RefSeq, a predicted model, not a curated record